UCCCUGGUGGCUCAGUGGGUAGAGCGUCUGCCUAAUGCGGGAGACCUGGGUUCGAUCCCUGGGUUGGGAA
RNAcentral lists this transfer RNA (70 nucleotides) under Ovis aries (sheep). It matches the Rfam family "tRNA". From Rfam's summary of the family: Transfer RNA (tRNA) molecules are approximately 80 nucleotides in length. Their secondary structure includes four short double-helical elements and three loops (D, anti-codon, and T loops). The record is from Rfam by way of RNAcentral. Lineage: Eukaryota; Metazoa; Chordata; Mammalia; Artiodactyla; Bovidae.